GUGAGACUACAGAGCCCGGGGACGACAUGGGGGAAACGGCUGCUAAUACCGGAUGUGCCAAAAGGUAAAAGGCUUGCUGCCUGAAGAUGAGCUCGCGUCUGAUUAGCUAGUAGGUGUGGUAAGAGCGCACCUAGGCGACGAUCAGUAGCUGGUCUGAGAGGACGAUCAGCCACACUGGGACUGAGACACGGCCCAGACUCCUACGGGAGGCAGCAGUGGGGAAUUUUCCGCAAUGGGCGAAAGCCUGACGGAGCAAUACCGCGUGAGGGAGGAAGGCUCUUGGGUUGUAAACCUCUUUUCUCAGGGAAGAAUGCAAUGACGGUACCUGAGGAAUAAGCAUCGGCUAACUCCGUGCCAGCAGCCGCGGUAAUACGGAGGAUGCAAGCGUUAUCCGGAAUGAUUGGGCGUAAAGCGUCCGCAGGUGGCAAUGAAAGUCUGCUGUUAAAGAGUGAGGCUCAACCUCAUAAAAGCGGUGGAAACUACAUAGCUAGAGUACGUUCGGGGCAGAGGGAAUUCCUGGUGUAGCGGUGAAAUGCGUAGAGAUCAGGAAGAACACCGGUGGCGAAAGCGCUCUGCUAGGCCUGUACUGACACUGAGGGACGAAAGCUAGGGGAGCGAAUGGGAUUAGAUACCCCAGUAGUCCUAGGGGAAGGGGGUAAAAAACCGGAAAAAGAG
RNAcentral lists this ribosomal RNA (675 nucleotides) under uncultured Nostoc sp. RNAcentral's name for it is "bacterial SSU rRNA". It matches the Rfam family "Bacterial small subunit ribosomal RNA", at positions 117 to 834 of the family's 1533-position model. Lineage: Bacteria; Bacillati; Cyanobacteriota; Cyanophyceae; Nostocales; Nostocaceae. The record is from RNAcentral.